CUCUCCCCCACUGAGCCCCUGAUUUUUCUACUGUUGUCUAGUCUCCUCUCUGACUUGACCAUCGGAGGAUCUCCAUCGGAGGCAUCUCCGGUCAGUGAGAAUCUUUUCUUGUAGGUGCGCGACACCGACGAUUGGACGAUGGGGGGAUUGACCACAACAAUCGAGUUGGAGAUCGAUGAUGCCAGUAAGACUGGUACAUCCUAUGCAUGCUCGAUAGAGAGAGUGAGUGAUCUCACAAUCAC
This 242-nucleotide long non-coding RNA is filed under the name Elaeis guineensis (African oil palm). RNAcentral describes it as "long non-coding RNA (EGUI_LNC001536)". The record is from RNAcentral. Lineage: Eukaryota; Viridiplantae; Streptophyta; Magnoliopsida; Arecales; Arecaceae.